AACGUAGGACGCAAGCGUUAUCCGGAGUUACUGGGCGUAAAGCGCGGGCAGGCGGUUCUGCCAGUCUGAUGUGAAAUCUCCUCGCUCAACGGGGAGCAGCCAUUGGAAACUACAGAACUGGAGUCUGGCAGAGGUAGGCGGAAUUCCGGGUGGAGUGGUGAAGUGCGUAGAGAUCCGGAGGAACACCAGAGGCGAAGGCGGCCUACUGGGCCAGUACUGACGCUGAGCCGCGAAAGCCAGGGGAGCGAACGGG
This 253-nucleotide ribosomal RNA is filed under the name uncultured bacterium. RNAcentral's name for it is "partial 16S ribosomal RNA". It matches the Rfam family "Bacterial small subunit ribosomal RNA", at positions 524 to 776 of the family's 1533-position model. The record is from RNAcentral.